UCCGACUCUACGCCGGCAGUCUCUCUAGAGUCCCCGACAUUACUCGCUGGCAACUAGAGACGAGGGUUGCGCUCGUUGCGGGACUUAACCCAACACCUCACGGCACGAGCUGAGGACAGCCAUGCAACACCUAUCGCAGGCCCUUACGGACACCACAUCUCUGUGGCUUUUCCUGCGUAGUUCAGCCCAGGUAAGGUUCUUCGCGUUACAUCGAAUUGAGCCACAUACUCCACCGCUUGUGCAGGCCCCCGUCAAUUUCUUUGAGUUUUAAUCUUGCGACCGUACUCCCCAGGCGGCACGUUUAUCGCGUUAGCUCCGCCACGAAAGGGGUCGAUUCCUCUCACAGCAAACGUGCACCGUUUACAGCCGGGACUAC
This 376-nucleotide unclassified non-coding RNA is filed under the name uncultured bacterium. RNAcentral describes it as "contains 16S-23S intergenic spacer region". The record is from RNAcentral.